This 256-nucleotide ribosomal RNA is filed under the name uncultured bacterium. RNAcentral's name for it is "partial 16S ribosomal RNA". It matches the Rfam family "Bacterial small subunit ribosomal RNA", at positions 521 to 776 of the family's 1533-position model. The record is from RNAcentral.
UAAUACGUAGGUGGCGAGCGUUAUCCGGAAUUAUUGGGCGUAAAGAGUAUGUAGGCGGUUUAUUAAGUUUGGUGUGAAAGCUAGUGGCCUAACCACUAAAUUGCAUUGAAUACUGGUAAACUAGAAUACUGGAGAGGUAAGUGGAAUUCCAUGUGUAGCGGUGGAAUGCGUAGAUAUAUGGAGGAACACCAAUGGCGAAGGCAGCUUACUGGACAGUGAUUGACGCUGAGAUACGAAAGCGUGGGUAGCAAACAGG